UACGUAUGGAGCAAGCGUUAUCCGGAUUUACUGGGUGUAAAGGGAGCGCAGGCGGCGCGCCAAGUCUGAUGUGAAACCCCGGGGCUCAACCCCGGGCAUGCAUUGGAAACUGGCGGGCUGGAGUGCCGGAGAGGUAAGCGGAAUUCCUAGUGUAGCGGUGAAAUGCGUAGAUAUUAGGAGGAACACCAGUGGCGAAGGCGGCUUACUGGACGGCAACUGACGCUGAGGCUCGAAAGCGUGGGGAGCAAACAGG
RNAcentral lists this ribosomal RNA (253 nucleotides) under uncultured bacterium. Its description in RNAcentral is "partial 16S ribosomal RNA". It matches the Rfam family "Bacterial small subunit ribosomal RNA", at positions 524 to 776 of the family's 1533-position model. The record is from RNAcentral.